RNAcentral lists this ribosomal RNA (264 nucleotides) under uncultured bacterium. RNAcentral's name for it is "partial 16S ribosomal RNA". It matches the Rfam family "Bacterial small subunit ribosomal RNA", at positions 91 to 353 of the family's 1533-position model. The record is from RNAcentral.
UUGAGUGGCAAACGGGUGAGUAACACGUAAACAACCUGCCGUCUACUCUUGGACAGCCUUCUGAAAGGAAGAUUAAUACAAGAUGGCAUCAUGAGUCCGCAUGUUCACAUGAUUAAAGGUAUUCCGGUAGACGAUGGGGAUGCGUUCCAUUAGAUAGUAGGCGGGGUAACGGCCCACCUAGUCUUCGAUGGAUAGGGGUUCUGAGAGGAAGGUCCCCCACAUUGGAACUGAGACACGGUCCAAACUCCUACGGGAGGCAGCAUG